This is a long non-coding RNA of Lactuca sativa (garden lettuce), 906 nucleotides long. RefSeq lists it as uncharacterized. Lineage: Eukaryota; Viridiplantae; Streptophyta; Magnoliopsida; Asterales; Asteraceae. The record is from RefSeq and is a predicted model, not a curated record.
GGUUUACUAAAGCCCGAAACGUACAUCAAUUUUCGCAAAUUUGCCCAUUUUAACGGUUACCCGGUUGGAUAACAGGUUUCGGAACACGUGGCGUGACACAGACUGACGAACACACUGUUGGAGGCUAACGAAGCGCAAGCGUGGGAGAAACGGUGACUACCGAGAUUUGAGAGAUGGGAACACCUCCAGCGGAUUACAAGUUCGAUUGGGUUUUUAAUCACUGCCAUGGCUUGCGAAGCUAAGAUUUUAAAGGUUUCCUGGAGACAAAUCGGAUUAAACUGAUGAUGGUGGUAAGAAAAAAUGAAAAGGGAUUCUGAAUUAAAAAGUUGAUGUUUAAUUAGACAAAUCAGGCCACCACAUGUGAGUUUCUCUUUGCGGCUCUCUAUAAAAAAAAAAACCACCAUCGUUGAACGUAUCCCUCUCUAACUAUGUAUAUGUGUGUGCCUUUGUUUAUAUGAACACAUAUUGUGUAUGUGGUAGAAUAUAUCUUUUGACUUCAUGUAACAGUUUUUUCGUUGUAUGCACAAUUGGAGAAUAUAGAUGCAGGAAUCUCUGUCUUAACCAUUGACUAUUCUAAUCUUUUACACAUAAAUUGUCUAACAAGAACAUGGUUUGAAGCGUUCCUUUGGAUUUUUCCAAGUUGAUCAGCUUAGUGGAGUUCAGGUGGCUCGAUGGAACUCCAUUGGAUAAGGGUGGGCCUACAUUGUGGCAAAUCUGAUAGAGUUUUCACAAACAAGGUUAAGGUCUAUUUGAAAGUAUGGUCAGAUAUUUAUUCUUUUCAUGUUUGUUCGUCACUAACACAAACACUACUUUAACACAUGGGUUUGAUGUGGAAUGAAUGUAUAACAUAAAAACAAUUGUUUACAAUAAACCUUUUUAGCAGUCAACAUAACACCAUUUGUGACA